GUAGGUCAGUAGUAGAGUGCUUGCCUAGCAUGUGUGAGGCCCUAGGUUCAAUCUCCAGCACCACACACAUGCCAAAAAGAAUAUAGUAUCAAACAUAACUUUCCCUUAUGAGGCAAGAGUAAUAAAUAUGGUAUUAUGCUAAUUCAUUAAAUGUAAUAUUAUAGUACUGAAUGUUUACCAUGUCUAGAUACUAUCCAUAUACUUCAUACAUAGUAUCUCAUUAAAAUUUAAAAAAAGCUCUAGUAUGAUUGGACCUUUGCGACAGAUGGGAAAAUUGGGGUACAGAGAGCCUGGAACAGAGAAUCCAACUGCAGGAUCCCUAUUCAAAACUACUGAUGUUAACACUAUCCUACUCUAAUACAGGAACAUGUACUUGUAUUAUUUUGUAUUAGCACAGUUUAAAUGAUUCCUUGUAAGGGGGGGAAUUCCAGAAUUUGCAAUGUGGUCAAUAUGAUUGUAGUCCCUAGAAAAAGAUGUAAAAUGUUUUUAGCAAGUUCAGAGUAAAGAGGCCUUGACAGCCAGGCAGAAUGGUGUAUGUCUGUAAUCCCAGCUACUCAGCUACGUACAGGAGGAUUGUAAGUUUGAGACCAGCCUGGAUAA
Molecule: long non-coding RNA, 600 nt
Filed under: Marmota monax (woodchuck)
Lineage: Eukaryota; Metazoa; Chordata; Mammalia; Rodentia; Sciuridae
Source: RNAcentral